GCCCCUGUAGCUCAGCUGGAUAGAGCAGUUCCCUCCUAAGGAAAAGGUCACCUGUUCAAAUCGGGUCAGGGGUACCA
Molecule: transfer RNA, 77 nt
Filed under: Candidatus Tenebribacter burtonii
Lineage: Bacteria; Pseudomonadati; Candidatus Cloacimonadota; Cloacimonadia (SeqCode); Cloacimonadales (SeqCode)
Description: tRNA-Arg
Rfam family: tRNA
About the family: Transfer RNA (tRNA) molecules are approximately 80 nucleotides in length. Their secondary structure includes four short double-helical elements and three loops (D, anti-codon, and T loops).
Source: RNAcentral